ACAGAGGUGCCAAGCGUUAGGCGGAAUCACUGGGCUUAAAGCGUGUGUAGGCGGAUCGUUAAGUACCUUGUGAAAUCCCACGGCUCAACCGUGGAACUGCUGGGUAUACUGGCGGUCUUGAGCCACCUAGGGGCAACUGGAACAAGCGGUGGAGCGGUGAAAUGCGUAGAUAUCGCUUGGAACGCCAACGGUGAAAACAGGUUGCUGGGGGUGUGCUGACGCUGAGACACGAAAGCCAGGGGAGCGAACGGGA
RNAcentral lists this ribosomal RNA (253 nucleotides) under uncultured prokaryote. Its description in RNAcentral is "partial 16S ribosomal RNA". It matches the Rfam family "Bacterial small subunit ribosomal RNA", at positions 525 to 777 of the family's 1533-position model. The record is from RNAcentral.